GAUGAACGCUGGCGGCGUGCUUAAUACAUGCAAGUCGAACGGAAAGGCGCUGCUCUUGCGUGUUUCUCGUUUGGCGAACGGGUGAGUAUCACGUGAGUAUCCCGCCCUUGUCUUUGGGAUAACUUCAGGGAACUCGGGCUAAUAUCGGGUAGAAUCUCUUGCUGCACGUGGUUGGUUGGAAAGUGUCGGUGUUUGUGUAUGGACUCGCUGCUUAUCAGCUUGUUUGUGUGGUAGUGGCUUCCCAAGGGUUUGACGGGUAGCCGGCCUGGGAGGGUGACCGGCCACAAUGGGCCUGCGAUACGGACCAGACUCCUACGGGAGGCAGCAGUGGAGAGCAUUGCACAGUGGGCGGAAGCCUGAUGCGGAAGCGCCGCGUUCGGGAUACCCGCUUUCGGGUUGUAAACAGCUUUCGCAUGUAACGAAGCGUGCGUGACGGUAAUGGGUAAAGAAGCAACGGCUAACUACGUG
This 468-nucleotide ribosomal RNA is filed under the name uncultured bacterium. Its description in RNAcentral is "partial 16S ribosomal RNA". It matches the Rfam family "Bacterial small subunit ribosomal RNA", at positions 28 to 507 of the family's 1533-position model. The record is from RNAcentral.